Molecule: RNA transcript, 4208 nt
Organism: Felis catus (domestic cat)
Lineage: Eukaryota; Metazoa; Chordata; Mammalia; Carnivora; Felidae
Gene: CDK5RAP1
Gene name: CDK5 regulatory subunit associated protein 1
Exons: 22
Source: RefSeq, a predicted model, not a curated record
GCGCUUCCGGUGCACCGCCAGGGACGGAAGCCGAGGCGGACCGGAAGUCGCUUGUGCGCGCGCUCCGCGGCGGCGGAAGGCGGAGGUGGGGGUCCAGGCCUCCUGAGGGGAGCUCCUGUUGCCGGUUGCUGGGUUUUCGGGCUGCGGGAGACUUUGGCUGUUGGUUUAGUGCCAUGCGUCCUUUACAGUGUGUCCUGCAAGCACAGAGAAGGGGCCCCUUGGCUUCUGUGUCCUGGCUGCUGCUCAGGACCUGCAGGGCACGGAGCAGUGUCCAGGGCACCACAUGUCCCAGUCCAGAGAGGCAGCAGGAAAAUGGAGUUCGGAAGGAUUUCAGCUCUAGGCUGGCUGCUGGCCCGACUUUUCAGCAUUUUUUAAGAAGUGCUUUAGAUCCUCAAGAGAAGCCUGACGUGGAGGACCCACCCCCCUAUCUCACAGUGGAUGAACUUUCUGGGAGACAGAGAAAAGUCUACCUGGAGACCUAUGGCUGUCAGAUGAAUGUGAAUGACACAGAGAUAGCCUGGUCUGUCUUACAGAAGAGUGGCUACCUGCGCACCAGGAACCUCCAAGAGGCUGAUGUGAUCCUCCUUGUCACAUGUUCUAUCAGGGAGAAGGCUGAACAGACCAUCUGGAAUCGUUUACAUCAGCUUAAAGCCCUGAAGACAAAACGGCUCCGCUCCCGAGUGCCUCUGAGGAUUGGGAUUCUAGGCUGCAUGGCUGAGAGAUUGAAGGAGGAGAUCCUCAACAGGGAGAAAAUGGUGGAUAUUUUGGCUGGUCCAGAUGCCUAUCGGGACCUUCCUCGGCUGCUGGCUGUUGCCGAGUCAGGUCAACAAGCUGCCAAUGUGCUGCUCUCUCUGGAUGAGACCUAUGCUGAUGUCAUGCCAGUCCAGACAAGCCCCAGUGCUACAUCAGCCUUCGUGUCUAUCAUGCGAGGCUGUGACAAUAUGUGCAGCUACUGCAUCGUCCCUUUCACUCGUGGCCGGGAGAGGAGUCGGCCUGUUGCUUCCAUUCUAGAGGAAGUGAGGAAGCUUUCUGAGCAGGGGCUGAAAGAAGUGACACUCCUUGGUCAGAAUGUUAAUAGUUUUCGGGACAGUUCAGAGGUCCAGUUCAACAAUGCAGUGUCUACCAACCUCAGCCGUGGCUUCUCCACCAACUAUAAACCCAAGCAAGGAGGCCUUCGUUUUGCUCACCUUCUGGAUCACGUCUCCAGAGUAGAUCCUGAAAUGAGGAUCCGUUUCACUUCUCCCCACCCCAAAGACUUUCCUGAUGAGGUUCUGCAGCUGAUUCAUGAGAGAGACAACAUCUGUAAACAGAUCCACCUACCAGCCCAGAGUGGAAGCAGCCGUGUAUUGGAGGCCAUGCGGAGGGGAUAUUCAAGAGAAGCUUAUGUGGAGUUAGUUCAUCAUAUCAGAGAAUCUAUUCCAGGUGUGAGCCUCAGCAGCGAUUUCAUUGCUGGCUUUUGUGGUGAGACAGAGGAAGAUCACCUCCAGACGGUGUCUUUGCUUCGGGAAGUUCAGUAUAACAUGGGCUUCCUCUUUGCCUACAGUAUGAGACAGAAAACCAGGGCAUAUCACAGGCUGAAAGAUGAUGUUCCAGAAGAGGUGAAAUUAAGGCGUUUGGAGGAACUUAUUACUGUCUUUCGAGAAGAAGCAACAAAAGCCAACAUGGCUUCUGUGGGUUGUACCCAGCUAGUGCUGGUGGAGGGGCACAGUAAACGCUCUGCCACUGACCUGUGUGGCCGGAAUGAUGGAAACCUUAAAGUGAUCUUCCCUAAUGUAGAGAUGGAGGAUGUUUCUAACUCUGGGGUCAGGAUUAGAGCUCAGCCUGGGGACUACGUGCUGGUGAAGAUUACGUCCACCAGCUCUCAGACACUUAAAGGACAUGUUCUCUGCAAGACCACCCUGAAGGACUCCUCAGCAUAUUGCUGACCUGAGUGGAUGGCCUUAGAGUUGACAUGGGCUGUCCUUCCUGACAGGAAGGGAGACAGGACUGGUCACUAAAGAAAGAGACAAGGGCUUUCGAGGCAGCCAUGUCCAGGGAAGGCAGAAGACUUAACAACUACCUACAAGGCACUGAGCAGAAGGUGCAUCUAUUUGGGUGUGGACCGAUGGAAUAUUAGCAGCCGACACAAUGAUAAGGAAACUGAGUCUUGAAGAGGCUUAUCAACUUAUCUCCAGUCGCACAGAUGCUGAUUUUGACUUGAAGAAUUAACUGAUAUCCGUAAAGCACUUCACCAGUGCUGGCUGCAGAAUGGGAGCUUCAUAAAUGCCACUUCCUCUCUCCCUAACUCUCCUUCCUGGAAGAUUUCCUUCCAGUUUAUUAACAAGACACAAUCCGCCAAGCUCUGAGUCUCAGAGUCAAGAACUUAAGGAAUCUGGCCUGAAGACUCAGAUUUCCCUCAAAGGAAAAACUGGUUUUCUUCAACAUAUCAAAAGACAUGGAGCCACACUGACAGAGUUGGGCAGAAUGGCUGUGAGUCAAGGACACUGUAUCUGGAACAGAACAGGAGGACAUUACCAGACCUGUGAAGACUCCUUGGGACUUCAUCACAACCAGUUGGAUGCAGAGAGAGAAAAAUGGAGAACUCACAAAUUUCCGGAUUGGAUCCAUACAGUCUCAGGAACAAUCCUGCAAUGCCCAAAGGUUCCCCUGGUUUGCACAGGACUCUCAAAAUCACCCUGUUGAGAUCAUUUCCUCAUCUUUCAAAAGAGAUAAUUCAGGACUGGAGAAUGGGAAUGGCUUUCUCCAAGUCGGCCAUCCAGCCAGUGGAUAAGCCAGGAGUCAUUGGUGGUGAUGUGCACUGGCUUCAGAGACAGACAGGCCUGGGAUGGAAUCCCAGCUCUGCCACCUACUACUUGCUGGACAAUCUGGGCAAUGCAGAGUUUUGGAGGCUCAAUUUCCUCAUCUGGAAAAUGUGGAUGAUACACACCCAUACCUUCCUCUCAGCCUUGUCUUGGCUUUGGAAAAAGAUGACAUCGUUUAGAACCUCUAUAAUUUGUAUCAUGAUGUCCAGCAUCUAAUGAAAAAUUACAAGGCAUACACACAUGCACAAAAGGACAAAUGGACUGAAAUCCAAGAAAUUAAAAUAUACAAUAUAACAGACUCACACAUCAUUCAAUUAUUCAAAUAUUGAGCAGACAACAGGGCAAGCAGCCUAUAGAGGAUGAGAAGGAGAUCUGAGACUUUCAGCAUCUUGGGGCAGUACCUGUGGGGAUCCCAGGUAAGUAGAGUCAGUUUCAGGACCACUCUGAUGCCCUGGGUCUCCGUCAGUUGAAUCCUGAUGGCUCUGCAGUAGGGCAGACUUUAUAAAUGGCGAAUGGCCCCAUUGCUGGGAAGACGUGGCACUAGGAAACUGAUGAGAAGUCUUCAAUCUCACCACGUCCAUCCAAUACCUCCAAAGCAAACAUUCCUGCAUAGAAGUCCUAGAGGAUUAAGGAGAUAGGGACUCACUUAAGACAUUUGAUGGAAGUGUCAAAAACAUAUUUCAAACUGCACAUCACGAAUGUCAGCAAAUGCAGAGGUGUAGAGAAUGUUGGGAGCCCUGAGAGAGUCUGGAGGCUGCAUUCAUGACUCUCACUCAUGGCCCUAUCCGCUGGUUUCCUCAUUUGUGCCAUGAGUGAGGUGGACCUAAAGGACUGUGAAGGAGGAAGCCACUCAGUCUACUCUGAGUGGAGUCAAGGGGGGAUGUAUCCUGGCUUCAGUUCAGGGAGGCUUGAGUUUUACCCUGGCUCUACCUAUGCCUUGCUCUUUGAUAACUGGUCAGGCCUCAUGCCCUUUCUUGGCCUCAGUUCCCCCAUCUAUUAUAAUUCCAGCACUGAUAGGCAAUUUUCACAAAUGCUUGUGGAAUCCUCAUAGCAACCUUACCAUGUAAAAACUAUUAUUAGCCCCAGUUUACAGAAAAGGAAACCAAGACUCAAGAGAGGAAAAUUUUGCCCAAGAUCACAGAGCUAGUCUAUAGUAGAAUCAGGUUGUGAAUCUAGUUCUGCCUUAUGCCCAAGCUUGUAACUUUGACACCACAUCUCAAAUUCCUCCUUUUAGAGCAGAGCCGAGGCCUUCUUAUUGGGUAGGAAGAACAGUUCUCUGUUACACUGAGAAGGCUUGUUCCUCAAGGCCUGAAGGACAGAUAUGCUUCAUCAUUUGCUCCAAAAACUGGGACCCCACUCAAGCUUUAAUUUCAAAAAUAUAUUAAAACAUAUAUUUCAGAUUAUUCA